This 450-nucleotide ribosomal RNA is filed under the name uncultured bacterium. RNAcentral's name for it is "partial 16S ribosomal RNA". It matches the Rfam family "Bacterial small subunit ribosomal RNA", at positions 354 to 796 of the family's 1533-position model. The record is from RNAcentral.
GUGGGGAAUUUUGGACAAUGGGCGAAAGCCUGAUCCAGCAAUGCCGCGUGCAGGAUGAAGGCCUUCGGGUUGUAAACUGCUUUUGUACGGAACGAAAAGCUUCGGGUUAAUACCCUGGAGCCAUGACGGUACCGUAAGAAUAAGCACCGGCUAACUACGUGCCAGCAGCCGCGGUAAUACGUAGGGUGCAAGCGUUAAUCGGAAUUACUGGGCGUAAAGCGUGCGCAGGCGGUUUUGUAAGACAGAGGUGCAAUCCCCGGGCUCAACCUGGGAACUGCCUUUGUGACUGCAAGGCUAGAGUACGGCAGAGGGGGAUGGAAUUCCGCGUGUAGCAGUGAAAUGCGUAGAUAUGCGGAGGAACACCGAUGGCGAAGGCAAUCCCCUGGGCCUGCACUGACGCUCAUGCACGAAAGCGUGGGGAGCAAACAGGAUUAGAAACCCGAGUAGUCC